RNAcentral lists this small nucleolar RNA (81 nucleotides) under Suricata suricatta (meerkat). Its description in RNAcentral is "Small nucleolar RNA R38 (ENSSSUG00005020428.1)". It matches the Rfam family "Small nucleolar RNA R38". From Rfam's summary of the family: snoR38 is a C/D box small nucleolar RNA conserved across yeast, human, Arabidopsis and rice. It is encoded in the intron of elongation factor-1 gamma in both pombe and cerevisiae. snoR38 guides the methylation of 2'-O-ribose sites in 28S rRNA. The record is from Rfam by way of RNAcentral. Lineage: Eukaryota; Metazoa; Chordata; Mammalia; Carnivora; Herpestidae.
CUGAGUCCAUGAUGAUGUAAAGUUAUCCCUGUCUGAAGGCAAAAGGCCUUUCUGUGUGGAACGUGGAUGUCUGAAACUCAG